GCAGCACACGACCGCCGACGUCGUUCGGCAGGCCAUCAUACCGGCCUCUGCCGCUGAGGCCCGCGCCUACGCUGAGGUGCUUCCAGGCGGGCCCCUGCGGCCAGACCGGAUGGUGACCCAUGCUUGGGGUGGCCUCUUCUCCACGCUGGUCUCCGCCGUUGUCUCCGAUGCG
RNAcentral lists this non-coding RNA (172 nucleotides) under Alexandrium tamarense. The record is from RNAcentral. Lineage: Eukaryota; Dinophyceae; Gonyaulacales; Pyrocystaceae.